This 429-nucleotide ribosomal RNA is filed under the name Triticum aestivum (bread wheat). RNAcentral describes it as "partial small subunit ribosomal RNA". The record is from RNAcentral. Lineage: Eukaryota; Viridiplantae; Streptophyta; Magnoliopsida; Poales; Poaceae.
CUUAGUUGGAACUGCCGAGGGGGAGGGAACUCUCGGACAGUUCGGGGUCUCGUGAGUUUGGUGCAAACUCAUUCCCCUUGUAUUGUCUUUUUAUGCGAAACUAGACAGUCAAAAGAAAAAAUGAAAAGAUAUCGCUCUCGAUUAGGCUUGAGUGGUUUCUGUGCAGUUGAUAGCAAUGGUCUUAGUGGAGGUCUCGAACUAUAUUGGCACGAAUCUGUGCAAAUUGAUGUAAAAGAUAUGAAUGAACGAUACAUUGAUGCGUAUGUCACUUCUGUAACAGGUGAGCCACCUUGGAGGCUCACUUGCUUCUACGGCGAGCCCUGGACGGAGCACCGACACCACAUGUGGUCGCUCCUUCGGGUAGACAUGCCAUGGGCGGUGAUUGGCGACUUCAACGAGGCCAUGUGGGGCUUCGAGCACGAUGAUUGA